Molecule: ribosomal RNA, 2006 nt
Filed under: human oral metagenome
Description: bacterial LSU rRNA
Rfam family: Bacterial large subunit ribosomal RNA
Source: RNAcentral
GGAGGUUGGCUUAGAAGCAGCCAUCCUUGAAAGAGUGCGUAAUAGCUCACUGGUCGAGUGGUCGUGCGCCGACAAUUCAGCGGGGCUCAAGCGCGCCGCCGAAGCCGCGGACCCGCACACCCCGUGUGCGGGUGGUAGGGGAGCGUCCUGCGCGGGGCGAAGCCCGGGGGUGACCCGUGGGUGGACCGCGCGGGAGUGAGAAUGCAGGCAUGAGUAGCGAGACCGGGGUGAGAGUCCCCGGCGCCGAGAGACCAAGGGUUCCAGGGGCAGGUUCGUCCUCCCUGGGUGAGUCGGGACCUAAGGCGAGGCCGACAGGCGUAGUCGAUGGAUGACGGGUUGAUAUUCCCGUACCGGUCAGGCACCGACCAUGCUGACGCGCGGGUGCUGACCCACGCCGCCGCUGCCGCUGUUGCGCCCACCCCCUCAUUGCGGGGGGCGGGCCGCGGCCGGUGGUCUGGGGACCCUCCGCGCUGGUAGGCAAGCGUGUUAACAGGGGUGACGCACAGUGGUAGCCCGGCGGGCCUGAUGGCUUGGCCCGUUCAAGCGCGCAGCCCGGUCCCCAGGCAAAUCCGGGGACCAGCCCCCCCCACCCGGGGGGCGCGGGUGAGGCGUGAUGGUGACCCCGCCCACGCGGCGGGGGAUAACAGGGUGAUCCUGGGGUGCCGAGAAAAGCCUCGACGCGAUGGUGGCGGCCGCCCGUACCCCACACCGACACAGGUGGUCCGGCAGAGUAUGCCUAGGCGAGCGAGUGAACCGUGGUGAAGGAACUCGGCAAAUUGCCCCCGUAACUUCGGGAGAAGGGGGGCCCGGGCCCUGAAGCAGCAGGCCUGCUAGGGGCGAGGGCCGCAGAGAGCAGGGGGGAGCGACUGUUUACUAAAAACACAGGUCCGUGCGAAGCCGCAAGGCGAUGUAUACGGACUGACGCCUGCCCGGUGCUGGAAGGUUAAGAGGAUCCCUCAGCCCCCCGCGCGGGGGUGAAGGGGUGAGUUCAAGCCCCAGUAAACGGCGGUGGUAACUAUAACCAUCCUAAGGUAGCGAAAUUCCUUGUCGGGUAAGUUCCGACCUGCACGAAUGGCGUAACGACUUCCCCGCUGUCUCCACCACGGGCUCGGCGAAAUUGCACUACGAGUAAAGAUGCUCGUUACGCGCAGAAGGACGGAAAGACCCCGGGACCUUUACUACAACUUGGUAUUGGCGUCCGCCACGGCUUGUGCAGGAUAGGUGGGAGACCACGACCCCGAUCGCGCCAGCGACGGGCGAGUCACUGUUGAGAUACCACUCUGGCCGCGGCGUGCGCCUGAACCUCGGCCCGUGACCCGGGCCAGGGACAGUGCCUGGCGGGUAGUUUAACUGGGGCGGUUGCCUCCCAAAAAGUAACGGAGGCGCUCAAAGGUCCCCUCAGCCUGGUCGGCAACCAGGUGGCGAGUGCAAGUGCACAAGGGGGCUUGACUGCGAGACCGACACGUCGAGCAGGCACGAAAGUGGGAACUAGUGAUCCGGCGAUCCCGCGUGGACGGAUCGUCGCUCAACGGAUAAAAGGUACCCCGGGGAUAACAGGCUGAUCCUGCCCAAGAGUCCAUAUCGACGGCAUGGUUUGGCACCUCGAUGUCGGCUCGUCGCAUCCUGGGGCUGGAGCAGGUCCCAAGGGUUGGGCUGUUCGCCCAUUAAAGCGGUACGCGAGCUGGGUUUAGAACGUCGUGAGACAGUUCGGUCCCUAUCCUCUGCGCGCGCAGGAGACUUGAGAAGACCUGUCCCCAGUACGAGAGGACCGGGACGGACGGACCUCUAGUGCGCCAGCUGUACCGCCAGGUGCACCACUGGUUAGCCACGUCCGGACAAGGAUAACCGCUGAAAGCAUCUAAGCGGGAAACCACCUUCAAGACCAGGUCUCCACACACCACUACGGUGCGGAAGGCCCCCAGCAGACCACUGGGUCGAUAGGCCAGACGUGCACACCCGGCAACGGGCGCAGCUGACUGGUACUAACAGGCCGACACAAACACACC